This 445-nucleotide ribosomal RNA is filed under the name uncultured bacterium. Its description in RNAcentral is "bacterial SSU rRNA". It matches the Rfam family "Bacterial small subunit ribosomal RNA", at positions 335 to 774 of the family's 1533-position model. The record is from RNAcentral.
ACUCCUACGGGAGGCAGCAGUGGGGAAUAUUGCACAAUGGGCGCAAGCCUGAUGCAGCCAUGCCGCGUGUAUGAAGAAGGCCUUCGGGUUGUAAAGUACUUUCAGCAGUGAGGAAGGCGGGUACGUUAAUAGCGUGCUCGUUUGACGUUAGCUGCAGAAGAAGCACCGGCUAACUCCGUGCCAGCAGCCGCGGUAAUACGGAGGGUGCGAGCGUUAAUCGGAAUUACUGGGCGUAAAGCGCAUGCAGGUGGUUGUUAAGUCAGAUGUGAAAGCCCGGGGCUCAACCUCGGAAUUGCAUUUGAAACUGGCAGACUAGAGUACUGUAGAGGGGGGUAGAAUUUCAGGUGUAGCGGUGAAAUGCGUAGAGAUCUGAAGGAUACCGGUGGCGAAGGCGGCCCCCUGGACAGAUACUGACACUCAGAUGCGAAAGCGUGGGGAGCAAACA